UGAGACGUGUAACACCACUCUCACAUUAUGUGGUGUAUUACACUCGCUGCCACAUCAACGCCAUAUCAUAAAUUAUAGAUUUUUGUUUUCUUUUCUUUAUUAAUUAAUUUUUCUUUUGUUAGCUAUAUUUUACUCUAAUUAAUCCCUAAUUAAUUAUUUUAAUUCUCUAAUAAUUAUAUCUUCAUCAUCACUAAAUUCCAUCCAUUUCAAUUGUCAUUUCAUCGGAACAAUCAUAUCCGGCCACCUUCACUAUUGAUUUUG
Molecule: long non-coding RNA, 261 nt
Filed under: Solanum tuberosum (potato)
Lineage: Eukaryota; Viridiplantae; Streptophyta; Magnoliopsida; Solanales; Solanaceae
Description: long non-coding RNA (STUB_LNC005786)
Source: RNAcentral